RNAcentral lists this small RNA (122 nucleotides) under Caenorhabditis brenneri. RNAcentral describes it as "sRNA CBN34367". The record is from RNAcentral. Lineage: Eukaryota; Metazoa; Nematoda; Chromadorea; Rhabditida; Rhabditidae.
UUUUGGAGGGAGUUACGCGCCUUCAAAGUUGGACGUGAGACACAGACAGCGAGACAGUCGUUUUCUCUGCUGUCUCUCACUCCCUCACCUCCAACUUCAAAGGCGCAUAACUCGCUUCAAAA